RNAcentral lists this long non-coding RNA (325 nucleotides) under Nicotiana benthamiana. Its description in RNAcentral is "long non-coding RNA (NBEN_LNC018975)". Lineage: Eukaryota; Viridiplantae; Streptophyta; Magnoliopsida; Solanales; Solanaceae. The record is from RNAcentral.
GAGAAGCCAAGACUUAAAAUUAGAGUAGGAUCAAGAUCACAAAUAUAAAUAAGACUCAAAUAAAGGUCUUCAUUUAUUUUCAUUGCUUCAUUGUUUCUCUUGAUCUUUUCUUGAACUUCUUGUUUUUGUACUCCAAUUUUGGUCCGUUAAUUGAUUGCAUAUCAUCUAUACAAAACAAAUAUACUUUAGUAUAAACAAAAGUAUAUCUCAAUAAUAACUUACGAUUAUUUGGCAUGUAUAAUAUUUUCCAUCUUCAUCGGUUUGUCAUUUAUCAAAACCUAUACAUAUGAACACAUUAGUUUUAACAACAUAAUAAAUGUGUUCU